Molecule: ribosomal RNA, 312 nt
Filed under: Pseudopedinella elastica
Lineage: Eukaryota; Dictyochophyceae; Pedinellales
Description: partial Bacterial small subunit ribosomal RNA
Rfam family: Bacterial small subunit ribosomal RNA
Source: RNAcentral
UUGAGAGUUUGAUCCUGGCUCAGAACGAACGCUGGCGGCAGGCUUAACACAUGCAAGUCGAGCGCACUCUUCGGAGUGAGCGGCGGACGGGUUAGUAACGCGUGGGAACAUACCCUUUUCUACGGAAUAGCCUCGGGAAACUGAGAGUAAUACCGUAUACGCCCUUCGGGGGAAAGAUUUAUCGGUGAAGGAUUGGCCCGCGUUUGAUUAGAUAGUUGGUGGGGUAAUGGCCUACCAAGUCUACGAUCAAUAGCUGGUUUGAGAGGAUGAUCAGCAACACUGGGACUGAGACACGGCCCAGACUCCUACGGG